CUGGACUAGAAUGUGAGGGAAGUUCGUCUAAUAGCGAACGUCUGGAAAACCAGACCCAAAACAAGGUGCUGCAUGGCUGUCGUCAGCUCGUGUCGUGAGAUGUUGGGUUAAGUCCCGCAACGAGCGCAACCCUCGUACUUAGUUGCCACCAUUAAGUUGGGCACUCUAGGUAGACUGCCGGCGUUAAGCCGGAGGAAGGUGGGGACGACGUCAAGUCAUCAUGGCCCUUAUGUCCAGGGCCACACACGUGCUACAAUGGGCGGCACAAAGGGUCGCGAACCCGUGAGGGGGAGCCAAUCCCAAAAAGCCGCUCUCAGUUCGGAUUGGAGUCUGCAACUCGACUCCAUGAAGUUGGAAUCGCUAGUAAUCGCGGAUCAGCACGCCGCGGUGAAUACGUUCCC
Molecule: ribosomal RNA, 401 nt
Filed under: uncultured bacterium
Lineage: Bacteria
Description: bacterial SSU rRNA
Rfam family: Bacterial small subunit ribosomal RNA
Source: RNAcentral